UACGGGGGGGGUAAGCGUUGUUCGGAAUUACUGGGCGUAAAGGGCUCGUAGGCGGCCAACUAAGUCAGACGUGAAAUCCCUCGGCUUAACCGGGGAACUGCGUCUGAUACUGGAUGGCUAGAGGUUGGGAGAGGGAUGCGGAAUUCCAGGUGUAGCGGUGAAAUGCGUAGAUAUCUGGAGGAACACCGAUGGCGAAGGCAGAUCUCUGGGCCUUACCUGACGCUGAGGAGCGAAAGCUGGGGGAGCGAACAGG
Molecule: ribosomal RNA, 253 nt
Filed under: uncultured bacterium
Lineage: Bacteria
Description: partial 16S ribosomal RNA
Rfam family: Bacterial small subunit ribosomal RNA
Source: RNAcentral